Molecule: ribosomal RNA, 1222 nt
Filed under: metagenome
Description: bacterial LSU rRNA
Rfam family: Bacterial large subunit ribosomal RNA
Source: RNAcentral
AAAUUGACACCGUAACUUCGGGAGAAGGUGUGCCGCUGGCGGUUAGUGACUUCGCGUCACGAAGCUGUUGGUGGUCGCAGUGAAAUGGCGGUUGUGACUGUUUACUAAAAACACAGGACUCUGCGAAGUCGUAAGACGACGUAUAGGGUCUGAUGCCUGCCCGGUGCUGGAAGGUUAAGGGGAUAUGUCAGCGCAAGCGAAGCAUUGAACCGAAGCCCCAGUAAGCGGCGGCCGUAACAAUAACGGUCCUAAGGUAGCGAAAUUCCUUGUCGGGUAAGUUCCGACCUGCACGAGGGCAUAACAACAUCCGCACUGUCUCGACCAGGGACUCAGCGAAAUUACAUUGGGGGUGAAGAUGCCCUCUACCCGCGGAAAGACGGAAAGACCCCAUGAACCUUUACUGCAACUUGGCAGUGAUUUUCGGGUUGUUCUGCGUAGGAUAGGUGGGAGGCUUUGAAGCCGGGCUUCCGGGUUCGGCAGAGCCAACGUUGAAAUACCACCCUGAAUAAUCUGGAAAUCUAACCUGCGCCCAUGAUCUGGGCGAGGGACACUGCCUGGUGGGCAGUUUGACUGGGGCGGUCGCCUCCUAAAUUGUAACGGAGGCGUGCGACGGUUCCCUCAGGCUGAUUGGAAACCAGCCGUAGAGUGCAAACGCAUAAGGGAGCUUUACUGCGAGACUGACAAGUCGACCAGUUGCGAAAGCAGGUGUUAGUGAUCCGGUGGUACCACAUGGAAGGGCCAUCGCUCAUCGGAUAAAAGGUACUCUGGGGAUAACAGGCUGAUCGCGCCUGAGAGUUCACAUCGGCGGCGCGGUUUGGCACCUCGAUGUCGGCUCAUCGCAUCCUGGGGCUGGAGCAGGUCCCAAGGGUUCGGCUGUUCGCCAAUUAAAGCGGUACGCGAGCUGGGUUUAAAACGUCUGAGACAGUUUGGUCCCUAUCUUCCGUGGGCGCAGGACACUUGAGAGGAGCUAUCCAUAGUACGAGAGGACCUGGAUGGACGAACCUCUGGUGCUCCGGUUGUCACGCCAGUGGCAUAGCCGGGUAGCCAUGUUCGGAACAGAUAACCGCUGAAGGCAUAUAAGCGGGAAGCUGGCCUCAAGACUAGGUGUCCCUGACGCAAGUCACUAAAGGCCCCUCGAAGACUACGAGGUUGAUAGGCUCGGUGUGGAAGCGCUGCGAGGCGCGGAGCUAACGAGUACUAAUAGGCCGUGAGGCUUGACCUC